RNAcentral lists this ribosomal RNA (1016 nucleotides) under uncultured bacterium. RNAcentral's name for it is "bacterial SSU rRNA". It matches the Rfam family "Bacterial small subunit ribosomal RNA", at positions 357 to 1376 of the family's 1533-position model. The record is from RNAcentral.
AGGAAUAUUGGUCAAUGGGCGAGAGCCUGAACCAGCCAAGUAGCGUGAAGGAUGACUGCCCUAUGGGUUGUAAACUUCUUUUAUAAAGGAAUAAAGUCGGGUAUGGAUACCCGUUUGCAUGUACUUUAUGAAUAAGGAUCGGCUAACUCCGUGCCAGCAGCCGCGGUAAUACGGAGGAUCCGAGCGUUAUCCGGAUUUAUUGGGUUUAAAGGGAGCGUAGAUGGAUGUUUAAGUCAGUUGUGAAAGUUUGCGGCUCAACCGUAAAAUUACAGUUGAUACUGGAUAUCUUGAGUGCAGUUGAGGCAGGCGGAAUUCGUGGUGUAGCGGUGAAAUGCUUAGAUAUCACGAAGAACUCCGAUUGCGAAGGCAGCCUGCUAAGCUGCAACUGACAUUGAGGCUCGAAAGUGUGGGUAUCAAACAGGAUUAGAUACCCUGGUAGUCCACACGGUAAACGAUGAAUACUCGCUGUUUGCGAUAUACAGCAAGCGGCCAAGCGAAAGCGUUAAGUAUUCCACCUGGGGAGUACGCCGGCAACGGUGAAACUCAAAGGAAUUGACGGGGGCCCGCACAAGCGGAGGAACAUGUGGUUUAAUUCGAUGAUACGCGAGGAACCUUACCCGGGCUUAAAUUGCAGAUGAAUUACGGUGAAAGCCGUAAGCCGCAAGGCAUCUGUGAAGGUGCUGCAUGGUUGUCGUCAGCUCGUGCCGUGAGGUGUCGGCUUAAGUGCCAUAACGAGCGCAACCCUUGUUGUCAGUUACUAACAGGUUUCGCUGAGGACUCUGACAAGACUGCCAUCGUAAGAUGUGAGGAAGGUGGGGAUGACGUCAAAUCAGCACGGCCCUUACGUCCGGGGCUACACACGUGUUACAAUGGGGGGUACAGAGGGCCGCUACCACGCGAGUGGAUGCCAAUCCCCAAAACCUCUCUCAGUUCGGACUGGAGUCUGCAACCCGACUCCACGAAGCUGGAUUCGCUAGUAAUCGCGCAUCAGCCACGGCGCGGUGAAUACGUUCCCG